CGAGUGGCGGACGGGUGAGUAAUGUCUGGGAAACUGCCUGAUGGAGGGGGAUAACUACUGGAAACGGUAGCUAAUACCGCAUAACGUCGCAAGACCAAAGAGGGGGACCCUCGGGCCUCUUGCCAUCGGAUGUGCCCAGAUGGGAUUAGCUUGUAGGUGGGGUAACGGCUCACCUAGGCGACGAUCCCUAGCUGGUCUGAGAGGAUGACCAGCCACACUGGAACUGAGACACGGUCCAGACUCCUACGGGAGGCAGCAUG
RNAcentral lists this ribosomal RNA (260 nucleotides) under uncultured bacterium. Its description in RNAcentral is "partial 16S ribosomal RNA". It matches the Rfam family "Bacterial small subunit ribosomal RNA", at positions 92 to 353 of the family's 1533-position model. The record is from RNAcentral.